AGAGUUUGAUCAUGGCUCAGGACGAACGCUGGCGGCGUGCUUAACACAUGCAAGUCGAACGGAAAGGCCCUUCGGGGUACUCGAGUGGCGAACGGGUGAGUAACACGUGGGUGAUCUGCCCUGCACUUCGGGAUAAGCCUGGGAAACUGGGUCUAAUACCGGAUAUACCUCAUGGGCUGCAUGGUUUGUGGGGGAAAGCUUUUGCGGUGUGGGAUGGGCCCGCGGCCUAUCAGCUUGUUGGUGAGGUUAUGGCUUACCAAGGCGACGACGGGUAGCCGGCCUGAGAGGGUGACCGGCCACACUGGGACUGAGAUACGGCCCAGACUCCUACGGGAGGCAGCAGUGGGGAAUAUUGCACAAUGGGCGCAAGCCUGAUGCAGCGACGCCGCGUGAGGGAUGACGGCCUUCGGGUUGUAAACCUCUUUCAGCAGGGACGAAGCGAAAGUGACGGUACCUGUAGAAGAAGGACCGGCCAACUACGUGCCAGCAGCCGCGGUAAUACGUAGGGUCCGAGCGUUGUCCGGAAUUACUGGGCGUAAAGAGCUCGUAGGUGGUUUGUCGCGUUGUUCGUGAAAACUCACAGCUCAACUGUGGGCGUGCGGGCGAUACGGGCAGACUUGAGUACUGCAGGGGAGACUGGAAUUCCUGGUGUAGCGGUGGAAUGCGCAGAUAUCAGGAGGAACACCGGUGGCGAAGGCGGGUCUCUGGGCAGUAACUGACGCUGAGGAGCGAAAGCGUGGGGAGCGAACAGGAUUAGAUACCCUGGUAGUCC
RNAcentral lists this ribosomal RNA (772 nucleotides) under uncultured bacterium. RNAcentral describes it as "bacterial SSU rRNA". It matches the Rfam family "Bacterial small subunit ribosomal RNA", at positions 8 to 796 of the family's 1533-position model. The record is from RNAcentral.